CAGUCGCCGCGGGAAUACAGAGGGUGCGAGCGUUAAUCGGAUUUACUGGGCGUAAAGCGUGCGUAGGCGGCUUUUUAAGUCGGAUGUGAAAUCCCUGAGCUUAACUUAGGAAUUGCAUUCGAUACUGGGAAGCUAGAGUAUGGGAGAGGAUGGUAGAAUUCCAGGUGUAGCGGUGAAAUGCGUAUAGAUCUGGAGGAAUACCGAUGGCGAAGGCAGCCAUCUGGCCUAAUACUGACGCUGAGGUACGAAAGCAUGGGGAGCAAACAGGAUUAGAGACCCCGGUAGUCCCUGUCUCUUAUAC
RNAcentral lists this ribosomal RNA (301 nucleotides) under uncultured bacterium. RNAcentral's name for it is "partial 16S ribosomal RNA". It matches the Rfam family "Bacterial small subunit ribosomal RNA", at positions 509 to 807 of the family's 1533-position model. The record is from RNAcentral.